This 2169-nucleotide long non-coding RNA is filed under the name Homo sapiens (human). Its description in RNAcentral is "HSALNT0126348". The record is from RNAcentral. Lineage: Eukaryota; Metazoa; Chordata; Mammalia; Primates; Hominidae.
UGGGGAUUGCAGUCUUACAAAGACUGAUCAAGGGAAGACUCAACACAAAUGUUGGGCAAAAAGCCUAAAAAAUAAGUUAAAAGAUACACUUAGGCACAUUACAAUUUUAACAGGUUUAUUUGAGCAUUCAGCAAUUUUAUCAAUCAGGCAGUGGCAGACCGCCAGCAGUUCAGGGCGCCACCACCGAGGAAACCAGAGGGGACACUUACAAGGUGUCUCUGGGAGCAAGACAAAGAAACUAUUUGAUUGGUUAGAGUGGAAAGUUCAUAUUUAGAGGUUAACUGACCAUAAAUCUCUUGUUAGAGGUUAGUCGGUAGUUUCUGACUGGUUAAGCUGAAGUUUCCUGCUCCUAGGUUACACACAACACUUUCACUCUGAGUUGAGUUUCAGUUUGCUGACUUAGGAACCCAAAGUGCAGGAGCCAUUUCAGCCUAUUGGCCUCCCAGCGAAUUUUUUAUAACAGGUGAGGGAGGGUGCUUAGUGUGUAUCAGAAUAGCAUACCAAAGGAAGCAGCCAGUCCUGAGGCCACGAGGGGAUGGGGGGAAUGUUCCUGGAAUGUUCAAGGAACAGCAGAGAAGACCAUUAUGGCCAGAAUGCAGAUUGUAGGACAUGAGACCAAAGAGGGUACAGGAUCCCAGAGCAUCUAAGGCAGAGACUGGCUUUUACUCUGAGUGCAGUAGGAAAACCAUUGGAGGAUUUUGAGGAACGACAGGAUCAACCUCUGUUUUUAAAGGAUCCUUCUGGCUGCUGUGUCGAAAACGACAGGAGAUGGGGGAAGGCUAGAAGCUGGGAGACCAGCAGGGAGGUUGUGGCUGUUGUAGGAGUCCAGCCCAAGAUGCAAGAUAAGAGAGCUUCUUAGGCCGGGGGCAAUGGUGGAGGUGCCGAGAAACGGCCAGAUUCUGGGUGCAUUUUCAAGGUAUCUCUAAUAGGCUUUUCUGACAAACUGGAUGUGGGAUGUAAGACAAAAAGAGCAGUUGAGGAUGGCUCCAAGGAUUUUGGCCUGACAGAAGGAUGGAGUUGACAGUAUCUGAGAUGGGGAAGGCAGAGAGUGAAGAUAGCUGUGGGGGAAGGUUGGGGCAUUGGUGUUGGCCACAGGAUUACAGGUGGAGAUGUUGAACAAACCAUGGGGGCUGUUAAGAUGGAGUUCAGGGGAGAGCUGAAGGCUUGAGAUCCCUUUGGGAUGUGGCAGAGUAUAGGUGAUAUUUAAGGACAUGAACGUGAGUGGCUGGGGAAGCCAGUGAAGAUGGAGAAGAGGAGAGACUCAAGGGCCCAGCCCUCGGGCAUCACACCAUUAAUAGCUCAGGGAGAUCAGGAGGACACAUCUGGGGCCCCAAGGUUUCCUCUCUGGGAAUCCAAGCCCAGGGGUAUGUCUCUUCCCUGUUUUCUGUAGCCCUCUGCUUAAACCCAUAGGCUGAGCGCUCACUUUGGGAUUAUUGUUUUUAGUGGAGAAGGGGGGUAAUGGGAGUGUGACUGUUUACAGUUAACAGAUGUUAAUGUCAAUUUGACUGAUGCUUUAAAAUAGUAUUGCCUGGGUUUUCUCAGGCAGUGAGAAUCUUUGGAUUCUUUCUCCUCCUCUACCUUCUCCAAUCUCUGCAGGAGAUAAGUCCCCCUUCAUAUCAUAUCAGUUAUACUGGCAUUGCAAUCACUUCAUUUUUUUCUAGCUUUUAGAAAAUCCUGUCUCCCAUUUUCCGGUUCCUCCCUGGCCCUCAUUUGUCCACUCUAGCCUCUGGUACCAAAACUCUAUUGCCAUUUACAGCUUUUUCUGACCACAGAAAUCUUGGAUAGGAUCUCAGAUGUCUUCAUUGGCUAACUCAGACCUCUCAAUCUUAGAGACUCCAACCCUCCCUCAUGUUUGUGUUCACCUGUUCACCUGUUACAGUUUAUCUGUGAAAUGUAUAUUUAUAUAUCUUUCCAUCUUGUUUUCUAGGCUGUGUAGCAAGUUCUUCUUGGACAAGGCCUAGCUACAAUUCUCUAAGCCUUACUUUUUGGUACAUAGGGCUAUGUAUUUAGUACAUAGGGCUAUGCCCAUUUGAGGGCAACAGAAUGAAGCUGUAUAAGUUUUCCAUUCUCUUCCUGAUUGACUUUCCCUUACUAAAUCCUGGGCAGGUCUUGGAAAGAGAGCACACCUGUCGCAGGCCCUGGGCUGUGGUUAAUGUAUGCAUCUGCUUG